CGUAGGGCGCGAGCGUUGUCCGGAUUUAUUGGGCGUAAAGAGCUCGUAGGCGGCUUGUUGCGUCGGCUGUGAAAACCCGCGGCUUAACCGCGGGCUUGCAGUUGAUACGGGCAGGCUAGAGUUCGGUAGGGGAGACUGGAAUUCCUGGUGUAGCGGUGAAAUGCGCAGAUAUCAGGAGGAACACCGGUGGCGAAGGCGGGUCUCUGGGCCGAUACUGACGCUGAGGAGCGAAAGCGUGGGGAGCGAACAGG
RNAcentral lists this ribosomal RNA (251 nucleotides) under uncultured bacterium. RNAcentral's name for it is "partial 16S ribosomal RNA". It matches the Rfam family "Bacterial small subunit ribosomal RNA", at positions 526 to 776 of the family's 1533-position model. The record is from RNAcentral.